AACCUUAGUACGGCGAGUGAGCGGCAAAAGCUCAGAUUUGAAAUCUGGCACCUGCUGGUGCCCUAGUUGAUAUUUGGAGAGUACCACUUUGGGACUGUACUUUGCCUUUCUUCCUUGCAAGGCGACCUCGUGGAGGGUGAGAAUCCCGUGUGCCGAGGGUGUCAGUUCUUUGUAUCGGAUGCUCCAAGAUUCUUGUUGUUUGGGAAUGCAGCUCUGGUGGGUGGUAAAUUCCAUCUAUAGCUAAAUACAGACGAGAGACCGAUAGCGAACAAGUACGAUGAUGGAAAGAUGAAAAGAACUUUGAUGAGACAGUGAAAAAGUUUGUGAAAUUGUUGAAAGGGAAGGGCAUUUGAUCAGACUUGGUGUUUUGCGCCUCUUGCCUCUCGUGGGCUUGGGACUCUCUGGGCUCACUGGGCCACUUGCUGUUUUGGCGGCCGGAAAAAACCUAGGGAAUGUGGAUCUGCGCCUCGGGGUCAGUGUUAUAGCCCUGGGGAAUACGACCACCCGCGACCGAGGACUGCGAUACUUGUUAUCUACGAUGCUGGCAUAAUGGUUAAUGGCCGACCAUCUUGAAAAAAGGACCCA
Molecule: ribosomal RNA, 585 nt
Filed under: Nakaseomyces glabratus
Lineage: Eukaryota; Fungi; Ascomycota; Saccharomycetes; Saccharomycetales; Saccharomycetaceae
Description: eukaryotic LSU rRNA
Rfam family: Eukaryotic large subunit ribosomal RNA
Source: RNAcentral